GAUCAUGCCUCAGGAUGAACGCUAGCUACAGGCUUAACACAUGCAAGUCGAGGGGCAGCAUGGUCUUAGCUUGCUAAGGCCGAUGGCGACCGGCGCACGGGUGAGUAACGCGUAUCCAACCUGCCUUACACUCUUGGACAGCCUUCUGAAAGGGAGAUUAAUACAAGAUGUUAUCAUGAGUAAGCAUUUUCGCAUGAUUAAAGGUUUACCGGUGUAAGAGUGGGAUGUCGUU
This 232-nucleotide ribosomal RNA is filed under the name uncultured bacterium. Its description in RNAcentral is "partial 16S ribosomal RNA". It matches the Rfam family "Bacterial small subunit ribosomal RNA", at positions 15 to 237 of the family's 1533-position model. The record is from RNAcentral.